RNAcentral lists this ribosomal RNA (293 nucleotides) under uncultured bacterium. RNAcentral describes it as "partial 16S ribosomal RNA". It matches the Rfam family "Archaeal small subunit ribosomal RNA", at positions 455 to 747 of the family's 1478-position model. The record is from RNAcentral.
GUGCCAGCCGCCGCGGUAAUACCGGCAGCUCAAGUGAUGUCCCAUAUUAUUGGGCCUAAAGCGUCCGUAGCUGGCCGACCAAGUCUCCCGGGAAAUCCACCCGCCCAACGGGUGGGCGUCCGGUAGAAACUGGCCGGCUUGGAACCGGAAGGCUCAGAGAGUACGUCCGGGGUAGGAGUGAAAUCCCGUAAUCCUGGACGGACCACCGAUGGCGAAAGCACCUUGGAAGGACGGAUCCGACAGUGAGGGACGAAAGCUAGGGUCUCGAACCGGAUUAGAAACCCCUGUAGUCC